RNAcentral lists this transfer RNA (68 nucleotides) under Parapsyche difformis. RNAcentral's name for it is "tRNA-His". Lineage: Eukaryota; Metazoa; Arthropoda; Insecta; Trichoptera; Hydropsychidae. The record is from RNAcentral.
ACUUGAGUAAUUUAAUGAAAAUAUUAAUUUGUGGGAUUAAAGAUGUAGUUAUUAUACUAUUUCAAGUA